This 63-nucleotide transfer RNA is filed under the name Ptiliidae sp. BMNH 1274726. Its description in RNAcentral is "tRNA-His". Lineage: Eukaryota; Metazoa; Arthropoda; Insecta; Coleoptera; Ptiliidae. The record is from RNAcentral.
AUUUAAAUAGUUUGAUUAAAAUAUUGGUUUGUGAUUCCAAAGUUGUACUUUGUACUUUAAAUA